RNAcentral lists this ribosomal RNA (468 nucleotides) under uncultured bacterium. RNAcentral describes it as "partial 16S ribosomal RNA". It matches the Rfam family "Bacterial small subunit ribosomal RNA", at positions 28 to 507 of the family's 1533-position model. The record is from RNAcentral.
GACGAACGCUGGCGGCGUGCUUAACACAUGCAAGUCGAACGGAAAGGCCCUGCUUUUGUGGGGUGCUCGAUUGGCGAACGGGUGAGUAACACGUGAGUAACCUGCCCUUGACUUUGGGAUAACUUCAGGAAACUGGGGCUAUUACCGGAUAGGAUCUCCUGCUGCACGUUGGUGGUUGGAAAGUUUCGGCGGUUGGGGAUGGACUAGCUGCUUAUCAGCUUGUUGGUGGGGUAGUGGCUUACCAAGGUUUUGACGGGUAGCCCGCCUGAGAGGGUGACCGGAGACCAUGGGACUGCGAUACGGCCCAGACUGCUACGGGAGGCAGGAGUGGGGAAUAUUGCACAAUGGGAGGAAGCCUGAUGCAACAACGCCGCGUGCGGGAUGACGGCCUACGGGUUGUGAACCGAUUUCGACUGUGACGAAGCGUUAGUGACGGUAAUGGGUAAAGAAGCACCGGCUAACUACGUG